RNAcentral lists this non-coding RNA (74 nucleotides) under Litoreibacter arenae DSM 19593. RNAcentral's name for it is "Singlet oxygen resistance RNA X". It matches the Rfam family "Singlet oxygen resistance RNA X". From Rfam's summary of the family: SorX (RSs2461)like SorY is a singlet oxygen induced sRNA that counteracts oxidative stress by targeting mRNA for a transporter in Rhodobacter. It also has an impact on resistance against organic hydroperoxides. Lineage: Bacteria; Pseudomonadati; Pseudomonadota; Alphaproteobacteria; Rhodobacterales; Roseobacteraceae. The record is from Rfam by way of RNAcentral.
UGUGCAUGGGCGGCGCUGAGGCGCUUCCCACCUCCCUGUUGGACUUCGGCCGAGCUUUAUGCUCGGCCUUUUUU